GUUGAACGCUGGCGGCGGGCCUAACACAUGCAAGUCGAGCGAGCGGCGAACGGGUGAGUACUGUCUGGGAAACUGCCUGAUAGCGGGGGAUCACUGCUGGAAACGGUAGCUAAUAACGCCUACAAUCAGCUGUGCGCAGAUGGGAUUAGCUAGUAGGUGGGGUAAUGGCUCACCUAGGCGACGAUCCCUAGCUGGUCUGAGAGGGUGACCAGCCAAACUGGAACUGAGACACGGCCCAGACUCCUACGGGAGGCAGCAGUGGGGAAUAUUGCACAAUGGGCGAAAGCCUGAUGGAGCCAUGCCGCGUGUGUGAAGAAGGCUUUCGGGUGGUAAAGCACUGUAAGUGAGGAGGCGGUACUCGCAGAAGAAGCACCGGCUAACUCCGUGCCAGCAGCCGCGGUAAUAC
This 406-nucleotide ribosomal RNA is filed under the name uncultured bacterium. Its description in RNAcentral is "partial 16S ribosomal RNA". It matches the Rfam family "Bacterial small subunit ribosomal RNA", at positions 28 to 526 of the family's 1533-position model. The record is from RNAcentral.